This 253-nucleotide ribosomal RNA is filed under the name uncultured bacterium. Its description in RNAcentral is "partial 16S ribosomal RNA". It matches the Rfam family "Bacterial small subunit ribosomal RNA", at positions 524 to 776 of the family's 1533-position model. The record is from RNAcentral.
UACGUAGGGGGCAAGCGUUGUUCGGAAUUAUUGGGCGUAAAGGGUGCGUAGGCGGCUUAUCAAGUGUGUCUGUCAAGACCGGGGCUCACCUCCGGGGAUCGGAUACAAACUGAUAGGCUAGAGUCCGCGAGGGGUUGGUGGAAUUCCUGGUGUAGCAGUGAAAUGUUAAGAUAUCAGGAGGAACACCGGUGGCGAAGGCGACCAACUGGCGCUGGACUGACGCUGAUGCACGAAAGCCAGGGGAGCAAACGGG